UUUUAGUGGCUCAGGAUAUUUACCCCACCAGGAACUGGGAUUCUGGCUUGCAAAAGCCAAUUCAGGCUUGCAGCCUGCUAUCACUCCUCAUCUCUGCCCUUCAGAGCACUUUCAUCAUAUCCCAAAAUCUUAUUCCUGGCCACAGUUGGCUACAGACAUCAACUGGUCAGAGAAAUCUUAAUUUUCCCAGCUUUCUGCUCCUUUGAGGUUACCUGACCACCUUUUCAGUGAAGGAAUUUUUCUUAAUAUCCAAUGCAAACCUCCCCUGGUACAGCUCGAGGCCGUUUCCUGUGGUCCUGGAUAUGUGCUGACAUGUGCUGCUGCAUCAACCACCAUGGCAUUGCUAAAUCUUGGUGCCGAGAACUCUGUGUGCUUUCUCACCUGUUUUCUCCAGAGUGUUUAGGUGGUGACACCCACUAUGUCCCUUCAGUGCCCAGUGCAGGCUCCAGGUGCAGCAUUGAGUGGCUUGUGGCUUCUUCCUUCUCCCCCAGUUCCUGGUGAGGUAAAGAUCCAUGCAGGCAUUCACAGGGAGGGCAGAGAGGACCAACACAGAAGCCAGUGCUGGAAACAACAACCUAUUUUUAUACUUCCUUCUCUCAAGGCACCGCCCUUCGCCUCUGCCCUGCUCAGGAGCAGCAGCAAAAAUGGGCAGGCAGCUUUUGGCUGCUGAUGUCUUCACCUCUGGGAAUGCCUGUUUGUGUUUUCUUAUCCCAUUUUACACUCAGGAAAUUUAGCACUAACGACUGCAUUUUUCGCCUGCCUGCAGAUCAGCAGUGAAGCCAUGAAACAAAACCACUUUCCUCAGUUCCACCUCUGUGCACCAAAGUGGUUGUGUCCCACCAGGAUGCUGGGAAAAUCACUGCUGGACACAGUCCUGUGCUGUGUGCUCUGGGAUGAUCCUGCCUGAGCUGGGAGCUUGGAACGGGUGACCCAUUGUGUUCCCUUCCAACCUGACCCCCGAAAUGUGGCAGGGGACAAGAGUGGGGUGGAAGGCACAGCGUGUUCCCAGGCUCCUCAUCCUGCUCAAUGGCAGACCCAGCUCCAGCAUGGAGUUCCCUGCCACUCUGGAAUGAAAGGGGCUCCCUCCCCAACCAGCCCUGGCCUUGCUGAGCCGAGCCACUAUGAUUCAGCUGCUGGUGCUUAUAAAACAUCACAGUUUUCCAAGUAAUUCAAAACUUGGUGUGGGUUUGUUUUCUUUUUUGUUUUAUUGGUUGGGUUUUCUUGGCUUGGUUCGUUUUCUGUAAACCCACUUUAAUAAAUGAAUGGCUCUUUAACAAUAUUUUUUUUCAUCAAAGUCCAGGGAAAUUGGAAAUAUUGGGCAGUCACUCAAUAGAAGUGAGCAUGGCGCAUUUCAAACACCACAAGUCAAAAGCAGCUUCACGGUUUCCACACUCUGACAGUGAUUUUCCACUUCAGGGAUACAUGAUUUGCAAACUGGUCUUGCUCUUUGGGGUCCCCCUGUGUGCUGGUCCUGGUGCACAGCUCCACAAGGAUUUGGAUGGAUUCUCCGUCCCACACCCACCGUACUGGAGACACACCCUGCAGCCAGCAUGCCAGUUCAUACAGACCUACUUUUGGAGUCCUUAACCUCACCUGAGGAUGUGGUGGAUGCACUGCCAGACCCAGCACCUCCUCCACCAUUCUGCGCCACCAACCCAACAGAAGCUGCAUCCCUGAAAAGCCCUGGCAGCGGAUCCAAGCUUAGGAGUUUCUCCCUGCUGUCGCCAUAUGAUCCUCAGCCCUCAGCGGGGCAGCUGCCAAGCCUGGGGAACCUGUUUCCAAAUCCAUGCUGCAAAAAGAAGGAGGGAGGAUGUUGAACCCAUUCCUUGCCGAGUGGCAGGCUGGCAGUCCUGUGGAAGGACAGUGGCAUUGUCACCUUGUCACCGGGGUGGUGGCUGCUGCUGUCGGACAACUGGGGAGCGUAGCUGCCUAAUCAAAGAUUCAGCUGAUUCACAAAUGGUCUGUAACGGGAAUUUCUAAGGCCAGCACACGCUUCAAGGCAGUUUGGCAGCUCCUCUUGCAAUAACCUGCUUGUGUAGAGCCCUGAGCAAUGCCGAGGUGUGUCCUCAUGCCUACACAGUGUCCUGAGAUGGGUCUACAGGCAGGAUGGUGAUGCCAGACUGGCCGCGAGCAAACAGAUCAGGUGACAGCCAAGCCCUGCCUGAUGUCAUCCAAGGGAAGAGCUGGAUCAGGGCAGCCUCAAAACUGAGAGGCCCUCAUUGGGCUGGGAACACAUGUCCAUCCACAGGGAACUCCAUCCUGAGGGUUGGAGCAAGAAUGACAUCCAAUGCAAUUUCACAUGAGUACCAAUGGUCCUGGUCUUUCUACCCCACCUGCAGGGACCCCACUGCAGUACAGGGCAGAGGAAGGACUCUGGCUCCCCCUCAUCGUCUCGCAACCCCAGGGUGGGCAGCCACAGGCAUGGGACUGUAUGGUGCCAUCCAUGGCAAAAUGUGCCCCUGGGGUCACACUGGGCAGGCAGCACCAGACACCAAAAUGAACAACUGUCUUGGGGACAGUCUGAGCACUGCCCAGCAACAGGUCAUGAACCAACCUGCUCAGUGGUUCCAUACAAGGCCAAUUUCUAAACCAUGAGCAUCCAGAGAGGUUCUGGUCAUAGCAGAUGAGUUCCAAUGUAGGGUGGUUGUUACUGCUCAGCUGCAAGGCCCUGGCACCAAGACAGACCAAGCUGACCUUUUGUGGAAUUGUGACAAGGAGCGGUCAAAAAAAUAAAAAAAGUAAAGUUAACAUUGGCAAUCAGGGGGAGGAAAAACUGGAAGCAAGACCCAGCAAGUGCUAUUCAAGUACAAGAACAUUUCCGGCUCAAAAAUCCCAAGACAUCUGAGAAGUUAGAAAAAUGCAUGGAAAAGGAUUGCUUGAAUUGGUUCACCACUUCUGUUUAUACUUGUCACCACUAGCAACAGCAUCCAGAACUCACCCCAGGUGUCUGCAACAUCCACUGUUUGUCUGAUGCACCUGCAUUGCACACUGAGCAAUGAUGAGCAUCCCAGUGUUCUCUUGGAGCUCACCACCAUUAGGCAUUGUGGGCACAGCACCCCUGAAAGUAGCACGAGCUCUACCUUUACACAGAGGGCCUAAAGGUGGGUGGAGAAACAUCAACAGAGUUGUAAGAGUUAAGUGUCUUCCCACAGUAACACCUCCUGCUCCUAAAGCAAAGGGAGGCAGGCAGGGGUUGUUUUGCCAGUGAAGUGGAAGGUGUUUAGAUGAACCAUCACAUUGGUGAGCAGUGAUUACAUGUACCCAGGACAGCUGUUAAGUGUAUCUAAAACAGCUGUAAACACAGCCAGGUGCCCUCUGCCCAGAGCACCAACACUGCUUCCAGCCUGGAGCCUCCAACACAGCUCCAGGCCGUGGCACCAGGGAUGUGGAUGUGGAUGUGCUUGCAGCCCUCGCAGCUGGUGGCACUGAUGCCCCCUGGCCCUGUCCCACAGCAGGGCUCUGAGCAGCCCCCUCCCUCCCUGCUGAGCCUGUGGAGAGCAGGGGACCAGGAUCAGCAGCAUCCCCCAGGGAAGCGACUCGUCUUGCCUGUCCCCUUCCAUGGGUUGGCUUCUGUCCAUCAACGCCUCAAACAGUUCCUGCUAAAGCAGGACAAAGCACACUUUAAAUACAGAUCAAGUGUUCAGCUGAGAGUCUGUCCAUGUCUGUCCAUCCCCCACCCCCACCCCCGGGCUGGCCGAGCUGGAACAAAGAGGUGCCUGCCCCGGGGUGAUUAUCUCUUCCUUCAUCUCCUUCACUUGGGAGGAUAUCCUCAUAUCAUCUGCUUUUACCUGCUCCGGGCCUGACAUUUGUUCCCUUUCUAGCACCUUCCUGUUUGGGACAUUUCUUUGUCUAAGCUUCCUCUCCUACUUGAGUUGCUAAAACCAAGUCCAGGGAGCAUCAGGCAAACAAUGUAUUGCACACCACACAGCAAACUGCAUCCUACCCACUCCUUGAGCAGACAGAGCAGCAGCAACUCCCCUGGUCAUGGCUUACUCAGUCUCAAAGAGAACCUGCACUGCAUUCAACCACAGAAAUUCUCAAUUCAGGAACAUUGAGCAUGGAUCCAGACUCCACUCCUCACUGCCCAGCAUCAGGGACAACUGUGGCUCCCCAGAUAUUUGGGGAUGACGAGCCACAAGGAGCAGACACAGCAGACUUGUAUGGUUCAUGUACAAAUCACACUGAGUUCAAACAAGGUCACCAACACACCCCAUCUGGCACAGAACAUCAACCGUUAAAGCAGACAGAAACCCUUAGAUAAUAUUUUAUGCAUCCUACUUGUGCAGUCUGGAAAAUCUCAGAGAAUUCAGAUGCAAAGGUCUAAAUCUUAAAAACACUGAUGGCAAGGCACUGUGUUUUCUUUGCACUAUUUAAAUAUGUUUGCACAUAUUUAACUUAUUUCGUAAGGAAAAUUGAAUUGGUUAAGGAAAAAAAAAAAAAAA
Long non-coding RNA from Taeniopygia guttata (zebra finch), 4442 nucleotides. The record is from Ensembl. NCBI's taxonomy places the organism in Eukaryota, Metazoa, Chordata, Aves, Passeriformes, Estrildidae.